GAAGGCAGGGUAGCUGGGGGUGUCUGAGCUGGGUGUGUGUCUGCCUAGCUAGGUUGGGAUCCUGCUGGCUGUGUCCAACAAGCUCAGGAUUUUGUCAGCUUUCCAAGAGAGACAGGGGAAGGUUCUGAAUAAUCAGAUGCGACUUAAAGAAGGGAAGAUGGAACGGAGGUCUGUUUCUACCAAAAUGCUAAGAAAAAGGCAUGGCCAGGGGGGUUAAUCAAGGAGAAUCCACAGUCGACCGCCUGUAUCUUACACAUCAUUUGAAUACCAUGUGCUUGGCCCAGAGCCUUACUUGUCAGCACCUGAUCAGGAAUACAUAUCCAUCAACUUCUGGGUCCCUCCAGCCCUUCCUGCUCCUGACCAGGCUCUUGGUGGCAAGACAAUGUGUUGAUAGCAAGGUCUUCAGCAAGCCGUCCACUGAGGUGUUUGCUUGAAAUUUGAGAUCACAUCCCCUGAGAGGAAAAAGAUCUGGGUCUCUGGACUGGGGGAUUCUGUGAGAUCCCAGGGUUGUACCCCUUGGCCACAGCAAGAAGCAGAAGAUGGUUCAUCUAUGCCGGAGGGGGCGCUGGGGAGGGCCUGAAGAUGUCAGUGCUCAUAAAAGCUCUGACUACCUACCAUUGAGUCACAGAGCACUUUGGAGCCUAUAGUACCUGAAAUUUCAAGUGAGAAUGUAGGCUCUGGGGCAAUUAGUGACUUUCUGUGACUCUAUUUGUUAGUCUGUAAAACGGCUGUAUCUUCGGACGGAGUCGCACAUAGCACAAACUGGAUUCAAACUCUCUAGGUAGCCAAGGAUGAUCUUGAACUGAUUCUCCUGCCUCCGCAUCCCAACAGCUGGGAUCACCAGUCUAUUCAGGGCUAGCGAUGGAGCCCAGGUCUUUGUGUGUGCUAGGCAAGUACUCUAGCAAUGAAGCCCUGUCCUUGAUGUUUGGUUUUAGUUGGGAGUAUGGCUACUUUUUUUAAAAGAUUUAUUUAUUUUAUGUGUAUGAGUAUAGCAUACAGAUGGUUGUGAGCCUUUAUGGGGUUGUUGGGAAUUGAAUUUUUACGACCUCUGCUUACUCUGGUCGGACCUGCUUGUUCCAGAAGAGAGAGUCAGAUCUCA
Long non-coding RNA from Mus musculus (house mouse), 1099 nucleotides. RefSeq annotates it as predicted gene, 33662. The transcript is spliced from 3 exons. The record is from RefSeq and is a predicted model, not a curated record. NCBI's taxonomy places the organism in Eukaryota, Metazoa, Chordata, Mammalia, Rodentia, Muridae.